RNAcentral lists this ribosomal RNA (365 nucleotides) under uncultured eukaryote. RNAcentral's name for it is "partial 18S ribosomal RNA". It matches the Rfam family "Eukaryotic small subunit ribosomal RNA", at positions 592 to 975 of the family's 1831-position model. The record is from RNAcentral.
CAAUAGCGUAUAUUAACGUUGUUGCAGUUAAAAAGCUCGUAGUUGGAUUUCUGGAGGGAGCGUCGGCCCGUAUUUACGAGUGCGUGACGUCUCUGUCCAUCCUUGCGGGAAGGCACGGCAUUGAUUUGUUGUGUCGGAUCGCAUCAUUUACUGUGAAAAAAUUAGAGUGUUCAAAGCAGGCUUUCGCUUGAAUACAUUAGCAUGGAAUAAUAAGAUAGGACUUUGGUGCUAUUUUGUUGGUUGAGCCUAAAGUAAUGAUUAAUAGGGAUAGUUGGGGGCACCUGUAUUGCGUUGUCAGAGGUGAAAUUCUUGGAUUUACGCAAGACAAACAGCUGCGAANGNGUCUGCNAAGGAUGUUUNCAUUG